This 207-nucleotide ribosomal RNA is filed under the name uncultured bacterium. RNAcentral's name for it is "partial 16S ribosomal RNA". It matches the Rfam family "Bacterial small subunit ribosomal RNA", at positions 568 to 774 of the family's 1533-position model. The record is from RNAcentral.
CGUGUAGGCGGCAUGGCAAGCGGCGUGUGAAAUCCCGGAGCUCAACUCCGGAACUGCAUGCCGAACUGCCGUGCUAGAGGACAGGAGGGGGAUGUGGAACUCUAGGUGUAGCGGUGAAAUGCGUAGAUAUCUAGAGGAACGCCGGUGGCGAAAGCGACAUCCUGGCCUGUAUCUGACGCUGAGGCGCGAAAGCGUGGGUAGCAAACA